UGAACACAGUAUCAAGCAUAAUCUUUCUGUUAGAUAUGUUCCUAUAGUUGAUGAGUUUAUUAACCAAACCCUCAGUGUUAAAUUUCAUGUUCUGUAAAUUCAAUGGCAUAUUAAAGAAUAUUAAGCAACCAGAUCAAGACAUUAAGGCUUGGAAGGAUCCUGAGCAUUAAAAGCUGCUGCUCCACAGGAGCUGGGUAGCAAAAGUCAACUCAACUACUUCAACGGGCAAAAAACCAGUGAGGUCAACAGCAGGGGCAGCAGGGGCCCACUCUAAAUAAAGAAGCACCUUGCAAGCUUCCAUUCAUUCUGUCCUGACACCGUCAUCUCUUCGUCCUCUGAAUGAGUCCAGUUGAACCUGAAGUUGUUAAUUUCCAUACAGAGUUGUUCCAGUGUCUUCUGAAGUCACUAACCACAAGAAGGUUUCCAUUGCAAUCCACUGAGAGGAGAGAAGACCAGAAACAGUCAAAGAUAAGUGUAGUCUUCACAUCUCAUCAAGGAAGCUUCUCUUGGCAACAGAUUGAGACCACUACAGAAAACCACAACCACAACCUAAUGGAUACAUCUAUAAAACACUUCUCCCCCUAAGGCUCAGUGAACACUGAGGAAAGAGGAGGUGAAAAUAUUGACACUCUGACUUCCUUACGUUAAAACUGGCAUUCAAAAGAUCAAAAAUCAAGAACUUCACUGUAUCGAAGGGAACAAGUUUGAAAGUGACAAAGGCCAGAAGAACAGCUAAGAUUAUGCAAGUCUGAUGACGAGUCAAAAAAUCACAUUGCAGA
Cricetulus griseus (Chinese hamster) is the source of this 779-nucleotide non-coding RNA. Lineage: Eukaryota; Metazoa; Chordata; Mammalia; Rodentia; Cricetidae. The record is from RefSeq and is a predicted model, not a curated record.